GGACGAACGCUGGCGGCGCGCCUAACACAUGCAAGUCGAACGAGAGAGAGGGAGCUUGCUUCCUCAAUCGAGUGGCGAACGGGUGAGUAACGCGUGAGGAACCUGCCUCAAAGAGGGGGACAACAGUUGGAAACGACUGCUAAUACCGCAUAAGCCCACAGCUCGGCAUCGAGCAGAGGGAAAAGGAGCAAUCCGCUUUGAGAUGGCCUCGCGUCCGAUUAGCUAGUUGGUGAGGUAAUGGCCCACCAAGGCGACGAUCGGUAGCCGGACUGAGAGGUUGAACGGCCACAUUGGGACUGAGACACGGCCCAGACUCCUACGGGAGGCAGCAGUGGGGAAUAUUGCACAAUGGGGGAAACCCUGAUGCAGCGACGCCGCGUGGAGGAAGAAGGUCUUCGGGUUGUAAACUCCUGUUGUUGAGGAAGAUAAUGACGGUACUCAACAAGGAAGUGACGGCUAACUACGUGCCAGCAGCCGCGGUAAAACGUAGGUCACAAGCGUUGUCCGGAAUUACUGGGUGUAAAGGGAGCGCAGGCGGGAAGACAAGUUGGAAGUGAAAUCUAUGGGCUCAACCCAUAAACUGCUUUCAAAACUGUUUUUCUUGAGUAGUGCAGAGGUAGGCGGAAUUCCCGGUGUAGCGGUGGAAUGCGUAGAUAUCGGGAGGAACACCAGUGGCGAAGGCGGCCUACUGGGCACCAACUGACGCUGAGGCUCGAAAGUGUGGGUAGCAACAGGAUUAGAUACCCUGGUAGUCCACACCGUAAACGAUGAUUACUAGGUGUUGGAGGAUUGACCCCUUCAGUGCCGCAGUUAACACAAUAAGUAAUCCACCUGGGGAGUACGACCGCAAGGUUGAAACUCAAAGGAAUUGACGGGGGCCCGCACAAGCAGUGGAGUAUGUGGUUUAAUUCGACGCAACGCGAAGAACCUUACCAAGUCUUGACAUCCUGCGACGCACAUAGAAAUAUGUGUUUCCUUCGGGACGCAGAGACAGGUGGUGCAUGGUUGUCGUCAGCUCGUGUCGUGAGAUGUUGGGUUAAGUCCCGCAACGAGCGCAACCCUUACUGUCAGUUACUACGCAAGAGGACUCUGGCAGGACUGCCGUUGACGAAACGGAGGAAGGUGGGGAUGACGUCAAAUCAUCAUGCCCUUUAUGACUUGGGCUACACACGUACUACAAUGGCGUUAAACAAAGAGAAGCAAGACCGCGAGGUGGAGCAAAACUCAGAAACAACGUCCCAGUUCGGACUGCAGGCUGCAACUCGCCUGCACGAAGUCGGAAUUGCUAGUAAUCGUGGAUCAGCAUGCCACGGUGAGUAAGUUCCCGGGCCUUGUACACACCGCCCGUC
RNAcentral lists this ribosomal RNA (1349 nucleotides) under uncultured bacterium. RNAcentral describes it as "16S ribosomal RNA". It matches the Rfam family "Bacterial small subunit ribosomal RNA", at positions 27 to 1398 of the family's 1533-position model. The record is from RNAcentral.